GGGGCGUAUGACAUUUGCGCCGAUUUUGAAAAUUUCCAUUCUUUCAUUUGCGCCGAUUUUAUAAUUUCUCCUAAUUGGAUUUACAGGUAAAAAUAAAUUAAUACUUUUACUUGUACUAUAACUUGAAGGUUUAUUGGUAUAUCUGAUUAUAAACGUUGUUCACUUAUGUUUAAUAGAUAUAGGAAGAUGUGGUAUGAAUGCAAAUGAGACAAUUCUCCAUCCAAGCUGAUUGGAAGACUAUUUAUGAAAGUAAACCAUUUUUAAGUUUAUUUUGAUUCUAAUUGUUCUGGAAAUUCGUUGUAACACGAUGGACAUAUUGUAACGACCCGAUGAGUCAAUUCUUUAAUCUUCGACAGCCAUACAUGUCGGAGGGUCAGUGUCCAGAAAAAUAACAUAUCUUGCUGAUGUACCAUUAAAUCGUGUAAAGCCAGAGUCACAACGGAUUCUGAUUGGGAGACUAUUGUCAAACCAAAACACAGAAAGAACAUAACCAUGUGGCAGUUGACCGAAAGACCGAGGCUGAAGAUCUACGAGUACGGUAAAGGAAAAGUCUGGAGAUGUAUCUUCAAAGACUGGGAUGAAAAGUUAUCUCAUUGGCACUAAUACCAUAUCCUCUUAUAUCUGUUUAC
RNAcentral lists this long non-coding RNA (629 nucleotides) under Mytilus galloprovincialis (Mediterranean mussel). The record is from RNAcentral. Lineage: Eukaryota; Metazoa; Mollusca; Bivalvia; Mytilida; Mytilidae.